GGGGUUGUGGCUCAGAGGUAGAGUGCUCGCCUACCAUGCAUGAAGCACUGGGUUCAAUCCCCAGCACCA
RNAcentral lists this transfer RNA (69 nucleotides) under Ictidomys tridecemlineatus (thirteen-lined ground squirrel). RNAcentral's name for it is "Spermophilus tridecemlineatus (thirteen-lined ground squirrel) tRNA". It matches the Rfam family "tRNA". From Rfam's summary of the family: Transfer RNA (tRNA) molecules are approximately 80 nucleotides in length. Lineage: Eukaryota; Metazoa; Chordata; Mammalia; Rodentia; Sciuridae. The record is from Rfam by way of RNAcentral.